ACCUAAAAAUCCAAUUGAUCAAGUAUUCAGAUCUUUAGGGGUAUUGAAAAAUAGGAACAUGACAAAUAUUAAAAUAGCAUAUAAUCGGUUUAAUAAUGGGUUUACUUUAAAUAAAAAAAGAUUGAAGUAUUUAUGGUCAAUUUGCUUGAAACGACUGACAUUGUAUGAUUUAGAUAUUAAAGCCAUAACCAUAUAUGCAAUGCAAGUAUUUUCUGUUCGAAGCACAUGCCUUGAUUACUUAGAGAUUUAAAAAAAUAUCUUGAUGUACCGAGGGGUUGUCUUUUUUACCUUUUUGCAGAAGAUUAAAAAGUUAAAGGUUUUGAAAAUUAAAAACAAUCGGCGUCAUUCUAGAAGUAAACGAUCAAAACUAUCAGGAUUAUAUACACUUACUGCCGUGUUACCAAAAACCCUUGAAGAGCUGUAUAUGGAAGAUAGCAUUUCAAGCGAUAUGGUCAAUAUUAAUUUUGUAAACGGACAUAAUUGUCGUGUGUUGAGCUUAAAGGACAAUUAUAUUUGGACUUGCGCAGUAAGUAUUACAGGAAUAAUAAACGUAGAGUAUUUCGAUAUGUCUAGAUGGAAAUGCGAAAAGCUGUCAAUAAAUUUGCUAUUUGGUUUUCCAAAUUUGAAGAUAUUGAAAGCUAGUGGGUCACGUCUAGGAAAAGGAUUUGUUAACAUUGCUGGAGCUGGGUCUUUCUUGAGUAAGAAUCUGAGAUUGCAAGAUGUUAAUCUUUCGUCCAAUAGAAUGGACAGCAUACCAAAUGGAUUUGUUAUGCGCCAAUUUGAAAACUUAUUAAGUUGAAAAACUUGGAAAAGUUGACUUAAUCUUAAGAGGAAAUCCCUUUCAAUGUUUUUGUAAAACAUUACAGUUUUUAAAGUGGUUAAGUCAGACAAACCGAGUAUCGGAUAUUUCGGAUUUAACCUGUGUAACUGAAAAGGCUUCACGUAAAUUAAUGUCUGAAGUUAUUUCAAACCUGAAGACAUUUGAGAUUUCAUGCAAAACAAAAUUUUGGUUGCCGUUUGCUGUGUCUUUAACCUCCAUUAUCAUAUUUGCCAUAAUAUUAACCGUCGUAUAUUUUCGAUAUAAAUAUGCUGUCGAGUACUUUUUAUUGAGAUUUAAAAUGAAAAUGAGAAAUUACAAAGAAUUGACACAGGAAUAUACUUAUGAUGCUUUUAUAUCCUAUAGUCAUGCAGAUUUGGAAUGGAUAAAACAGUUCCAUGACAGAGUAAAUAGUAUGGGCUUCGAAUUAUGCCUGGACGCUAAGGAUUUUAUUGUUGGUAACGGUAUCGCAGAAAAUGUUAUUAAUGCAAUCGAUUCCAGCAGAAAGGUUAUAUUCAUUAUAACUCAUGAUUUUUUAAAAAGUAACUGGGGGUCGUAUGAAAUGCAAAUGACGCGUAUGCAUGCGUUUCGGCAGGAGAGAAAAGACAUGGUGAUUGUUAUUGUAAAGGAUAAGAUAAAGGUAUGAAAAGAUAUGCCGGCAGUAUUAAAGAGUAUGUGGUUUAAGAUAACAUGUAUUCAAUGGCCAAACGGUAACAACCUGUCAUUCAAUACGGAGGAAAUAUUUUAUGAAAAAAUGAAAAUGUCUCUCCAAAAAAAUGAUUUCUAGAAGUUCAGUUGUAUAGAGCGUUUUCCGUCAUUUCUUAGCAAUAUUAUUAUUAAAACUGCGAACCAUGGUUUUGGUGAGUUGCAAUUAUGCUUAUAUAGAUGUGAUAAGAACAAAUACAAGAAAGAGUACUAAGGGGAUACACGCAGGCUUAGAAUUGUAUAUACAUAGUCAUAUUCACAUUAUUACUUUGUAGUUCAAUUAACAGUUUAUAUGUUGCCGGACUGUUUUCUUGUAUGUUCUUAUCAUGCGUCUAUCAAUUUUGU
This 1867-nucleotide long non-coding RNA is filed under the name Mytilus galloprovincialis (Mediterranean mussel). The record is from RNAcentral. Lineage: Eukaryota; Metazoa; Mollusca; Bivalvia; Mytilida; Mytilidae.